UACGUAGGGGGUUAGCGUUGUCCGGAAUCAUUGGGCGUAAAGAGUGUGUAGGCGGCCCGGUAAGUCCGCUGUGAAAGUCGGGGGCUCAACCCUCGGAUGCCGGUGGAUACUGUCGGGCUCGAGUACGGAAGAGGCGAGUGGAAUUCCUGGUGUAGCGGUGAAAUGCGCAGAUAUCAGGAAGAACACCCGUGGCUAAGGCGGCUCUCUAGUACGGUACUGACGCUGAGACGCGAAAGCGUGGGGAGCGAACAGG
RNAcentral lists this ribosomal RNA (253 nucleotides) under uncultured bacterium. Its description in RNAcentral is "partial 16S ribosomal RNA". It matches the Rfam family "Bacterial small subunit ribosomal RNA", at positions 524 to 776 of the family's 1533-position model. The record is from RNAcentral.